Molecule: ribosomal RNA, 1553 nt
Filed under: Escherichia coli
Lineage: Bacteria; Pseudomonadati; Pseudomonadota; Gammaproteobacteria; Enterobacterales; Enterobacteriaceae
Description: bacterial SSU rRNA
Rfam family: Bacterial small subunit ribosomal RNA
Source: RNAcentral
AAAUUGAAGAGUUUGAUCAUGGCUCAGAUUGAACGCUGGCGGCAGGCCUAACACAUGCAAGUCGAACGGUAACAGGAAGCAGCUUGCUGCUUUGCUGACGAGUGGCGGACGGGUGAGUAAUGUCUGGGAAACUGCCCGAUGGAGGGGGAUAACUACUGGAAACGGUAGCUAAUACCGCAUAACGUCGCAAGACCAAAGAGGGGGACCUUAGGGCCUCUUGCCAUCGGAUGUGCCCAGAUGGGAUUAGCUAGUAGGUGGGGUAAUGGCUCACCUAGGCGACGAUCCCUAGCUGGUCUGAGAGGAUGACCAGCCACACUGGAACUGAGACACGGUCCAGACUCCUACGGGAGGCAGCAGUGGGGAAUAUUGCACAAUGGGCGCAAGCCUGAUGCAGCCAUGCCGCGUGUAUGAAGAAGGCCUUCGGGUUGUAAAGUACUUUCAGCGGGGAGGAAGGGAGUAAAGUUAAUACCUUUGCUCAUUGACGUUACCCGCAGAAGAAGCACCGGCUAACUCCGUGCCAGCAGCCGCGGUAAUACGGAGGGUGCAAGCGUUAAUCGGAAUUACUGGGCGUAAAGCGCACGCAGGCGGUUUGUUAAGUCAGAUGUGAAAUCCCCGGGCUCAACCUGGGAACUGCAUCUGAUACUGGCAAGCUUGAGUCUCGUAGAGGGGGUAGAAUUCCAGGUGUAGCGGUGAAAUGCGUAGAGAUCUGGAGGAAUACCGGUGGCGAAGGCGGCCCCCUGGACGAAGACUGACGCUCAGGUGCGAAAGCGUGGGGAGCAAACAGGAUUAGAUACCCUGGUAGUCCACGCCGUAAACGAUGUCGACUUGGAGGUUGUGCCCUUGAGGCGUGGCUUCCGGAGCUAACGCGUUAAGUCGACCGCCUGGGGAGUACGGCCGCAAGGUUAAAACUCAAAUGAAUUGACGGGGGCCCGCACAAGCGGUGGAGCAUGUGGUUUAAUUCGAUGCAACGCGAAGAACCUUACCUGGUCUUGACAUCCACGGAAGUUUUCAGAGAUGAGAAUGUGCCUUCGGGAACCGUGAGACAGGUGCUGCAUGGCUGUCGUCAGCUCGUGUUGUGAAAUGUUGGGUUAAGUCCCGCAACGAGCGCAACCCUUAUCCUUUGUUGCCAGCGGUCCGGCCGGGAACUCAAAGGAGACUGCCAGUGAUAAACUGGAGGAAGGUGGGGAUGACGUCAAGUCAUCAUGGCCCUUACGACCAGGGCUACACACGUGCUACAAUGGCGCAUACAAAGAGAAGCGACCUCGCGAGAGCAAGCGGACCUCAUAAAGUGCGUCGUAGUCCGGAUUGGAGUCUGCAACUCGACUCCAUGAAGUCGGAAUCGCUAGUAAUCGUGGAUCAGAAUGCCACGGUGAAUACGUUCCCGGGCCUUGUACACACCGCCCGUCACACCAUGGGAGUGGGUUGCAAAAGAAGUAGGUAGCUUAACCUUCGGGAGGGCGCUUACCACUUUGUGAUUCAUGACUGGGGUGAAGUCGUAACAAGGUAACCGUAGGGGAACCUGCGGUUGGAUCACCUCCUUACCUUAAAGAAGC